CUACCACUACCUGCGAAUUCGCAUUCCACAAUCACAAUGAUGUAACCUAUAGCAGUUGCCAAAACAACAUCGGACUG
RNAcentral lists this transfer RNA (77 nucleotides) under Corynebacterium pseudotuberculosis. RNAcentral describes it as "tRNA-Pro". The record is from RNAcentral. Lineage: Bacteria; Bacillati; Actinomycetota; Actinomycetes; Mycobacteriales; Corynebacteriaceae.